AACAUCGCGCACCUGCGGGAACCUGCGGAAGGAUCAUUACUGAGUCACGUGCUCAAACAACCCUUCUGUGGACCUGAAAUAAAACCGUUGCCUCGGCGGGCGGUCCCCCCCAAACCAACCCCACGUGGUGGGUUAGGGGAGACCAGACAGUCCGGUACGCUUAAGGCGUCCGGCGCCAGCCGCUGGCCCCAAACAAUUAAACUCUAGUAAUCUUUACCUUCUGAGUUUCAAUAUUUAAAA
This 240-nucleotide unclassified non-coding RNA is filed under the name soil metagenome. RNAcentral's name for it is "partial contains 5.8S ribosomal RNA, internal transcribed spacer 2, and large subunit ribosomal RNA". The record is from RNAcentral.